UAAAAAUGAUAUGAAAACAAGUUGAAUGUUUGGAAUCGCUAACAACCGAAGCUGGAUCCAAAAUCCGGUUAGUUUCAUAUAUCUUUAUGUAAAUUUAGUAUCAAACAAAACAAAAAAAGAACAAAAA
This 127-nucleotide small RNA is filed under the name Arabidopsis thaliana (thale cress). RNAcentral describes it as "ATSL235450". Lineage: Eukaryota; Viridiplantae; Streptophyta; Magnoliopsida; Brassicales; Brassicaceae. The record is from RNAcentral.